Molecule: unclassified non-coding RNA, 255 nt
Filed under: plant metagenome
Description: partial contains small subunit ribosomal RNA and internal transcribed spacer 1
Rfam family: Eukaryotic small subunit ribosomal RNA (bases 1-54)
Source: RNAcentral
GAAAGUAAAAGUCGUAACAAGGUUUCCGUAGGUGAACCUGCGGAAGGAUCAUUAGUGAAUUUUAGGGCGUCUACUUGUAGAGCCUGACCUCCACUUUCUAACUCUGUGCACUUAUUUGGCGGAAAAAGGGAAUAGUGAUUGUUUAACGACGAUUGCGAAUUCCUUAUUUCUGCGGCUUACUCUAAACGCUAGUCAAAGUCUGUAACGAAAUAUCGAAAUACAAAAAAACUUCCAACAACGGAUCUCUUGGCUCUC